Molecule: ribosomal RNA, 505 nt
Filed under: uncultured bacterium
Lineage: Bacteria
Description: partial 16S ribosomal RNA
Rfam family: Bacterial small subunit ribosomal RNA
Source: RNAcentral
GACGAACGCUGGCGGCGUGCCUAAUACAUGCAAGUAGAACGCACAGUUUAUACCGUAGCUUGCUACACCAUAGACUGUGAGUUGCGAACGGGUGAGUAACGCGUAGGUAACCUGCCUGGUAGCGGGGAAUAACUAUUGGAAACGAUAGCUAAUACCGCAUAAUAUUGAUUAUUGCAUGAUAAUUGAUUGAAAGAUGCUAUUGCAUCACUACCAGAUGGACCUGCGUUGUAUUAGCUAGUAGGUGAGGUAACGGCUCACCUAGGCGACGAUACAUAGCCGACCUGAGAGGGUGAUCGGCCACACUGGGACUGAGACACGGCCCAGACUCCUACGGGAGGCAGCAGUAGGGAAUCUUCGGCAAUGGACGAAAGUCUGACCGAGCAACGCCGCGUGAGUGAAGAAGGUUUUCGGAUCGUAAAGCUCUGUUGUAAGAGAAGAACGGGUGUGAGAGUGGAAAGUUCACACUGUGACGGUAUCUUACCAGAAAGGGACGGCUAACUACGUG